AUUGAACGCUGGCGGCAUGCUUUACACAUGCAAGUCGAGCGGUAACAGGCCUUCGGGUGCUGACGAGUGGCGAACGGGUGAGUAAUGCAUCGGAACGUACCCAGAGGUGGGGGAUAACGCAGCGAAAGCUGUGCUAAUACCGCAUGUGAUCUGAGGAUGAAAGCGGGGGACCGAGCAGCAAUGUUUGGCCUCGCGCCUUUGGAGCGGCCGAUGUCGGAUUAGCUAGUUGGUGGGGUAAAGGCCUACCAAGGCGACGAUCCGUAGCUGGUCUGAGAGGACGACCAGCCACACUGGGACUAAGACACGGCCCAGACUCCUACGGGAGGCAGCAGUGGGGAAUUUUGGACAAUGGGCGCAAGCCUGAUCCAGCAAUGCCGCGUGCGGGAAGAAGGCCUUCGGGUUGUAAACCGCUUUUGGCAGGAACGAAACGGUGUCCGCUAAUACCGGGCGCUAAUGACGGUACCUGCAGAAUAAGCACCGGCUAACUACGUG
Molecule: ribosomal RNA, 492 nt
Filed under: uncultured bacterium
Lineage: Bacteria
Description: partial 16S ribosomal RNA
Rfam family: Bacterial small subunit ribosomal RNA
Source: RNAcentral